CCUACGAGUGGCAGCAGUGAGGAAUAUUGGUCAAUGGGAGAGAUCCUGAACCAGCCAAGCCGCGUGAGGGAAGACGGCCCUAUGGGUUGUAAACCUCUUUUGUCGGAGAACAAAACCCGGGACGCGUCCCGGACUGCGUGUAUCCGAAGAAAAAGCAUCGGCUAACUCCGUGCCAGCAGCCGCGGUAAUACGGAGUAUGCGAGCGUUAUCCGGAUUUAUUGGGUUUAAAGGGUGCGUAGGCGGUCCGUUAAGUCAGCGGUAAAAUUGCGGGGCUAAACCCCGGCGAGCCGUUGAAACUGGCAGACUUGAGUUGGCGAGAAGUACGCGGAAUGCGCGGUGUAGCGGUGAAAUGCAUAGAUAUCGCGCAGAACUCCGAUUGCGAAGGCAGCAUACCGGCGCCAGACUGACGCUGAGGCACGAAAGCGUGGGGAUCGAACAGGAUUAGAUACCCCGGUAGUC
Molecule: ribosomal RNA, 459 nt
Filed under: uncultured bacterium
Lineage: Bacteria
Description: partial 16S ribosomal RNA
Rfam family: Bacterial small subunit ribosomal RNA
Source: RNAcentral